Long non-coding RNA from Brienomyrus brachyistius, 818 nucleotides. RefSeq lists it as uncharacterized. The record is from RefSeq and is a predicted model, not a curated record. The transcript has 6 exons. NCBI's taxonomy places the organism in Eukaryota, Metazoa, Chordata, Actinopteri, Osteoglossiformes, Mormyridae.
CCCUUGGAUCUCUGGGCCCAGGGCCUGGUCUGCCCUGGUGGGGCCGGCCGCUGGUGUAGCCUGCGGGCUCGCCGCCACGGCCCCCUGGGGCUCCUGCACUGUGGCUGCCGGAUGGCCUCCCUCCGGAGCUCUCCUCUGCCCUUUUCUGGGUGAGGGGCUGCUAUUCUCCCUGCGGUGGUCCUCCGGGGGCUCCCAUGCCCUGGGGGGCCUCUGGAUGUCUGGGGUCCGGGCCUCCUCCGUGUCGGCUUUAUGUCCUUGGGGAUGGGGCUGUGGCUCCCCACACACACUACUAGACAUUUACAUGGAGUAACCUUUUGAACACCAGCGCGCUCACAUACACAGGUGUGCACACAGGGGUACAAACAGGUACUCACAGACACAUACAGGUGUACACACAGGUUCUCACAAACACACACAGGUGUACACACAGGUACUCACAGACACACACAGGUGUACAAACAGGUUCUCACAGACACACACAGGUGUACACACAGGUACUCACAGACACACACAGGUGUACACACAGGUACUCACAGACACACACAGGUGUACAAACAGGUUCUCACAGACACACACAGGUGUACACACAGGUUCUCACAGACACACACAGGUGUACAAACAGGUUCUCACAGACACACACAGGUGUACACACAGGUACUCACAGACACACACAGGUGUACACACAGGUACUCACAGACACACACAGGUGUACAAACAGGUUCUCACAGACACAUACAGGUGUACACACAGGUACUCACAGACACAUACAGGUGUACACACAGGUACUCACAGACACAUACAGGUGUACAAACAGGUUC